Molecule: ribosomal RNA, 735 nt
Filed under: Sungouiella ecuadorensis
Lineage: Eukaryota; Fungi; Ascomycota; Pichiomycetes; Serinales; Metschnikowiaceae
Description: LSU rRNA
Rfam family: Eukaryotic large subunit ribosomal RNA
Source: RNAcentral
GUUAACGGCGAAGUGAAGCGGCAAAAGCUCAAAUUUUGAAAUCCCUAGGGAGUUGUAAUUUGUAGGCUGGGAGCAGGCAGUACCGAAAAGAAAAAGUCCCUUGGAACAGGGCGCCUUGGAGGGUGAGAGCCCCGUAUUUCUGGACCGGUUCUGUUUUUCCCACGCCAAAGAGUCGAGUUGUUUGGGAAUGCAGCUCAAAGUGGGUGGUAAAUUCCAUCUAAAGCUAAAUAUUGGCGAGAGACCGAUAGCGAACAAGUACCGUGAGGGAAAGAUGAAAAGCACUUUGAAAAGAGAGUGAAACAGUACGUGAAAUUGUUGAAAGGGAAGGGCUUGCAAGCAGACACUUUUUUGGGCCAGCAUCAGUUGAAGGGGAUGGAGAAACAGCGAGGAAUGUAGCUUUCGAGUAUUAUAUCCUUGCUUCAUACAUCCUCCUUCGUCUGAGGCCUGCUUUUAUUAUAGGAUGCUGGCGUAAUGGUUGCAAGCCGCCCGUCUUGAAACACGGACCAAGGAGUCUAACGUCUAUGCAAGUGUUUGGGUGCAAAACCCCAGCGCGGAAUGAAAGUAAGAGGUGCGAGCCCGCAAGGGUGCAGCAUCGACCGACCUUGAGGUACUCCGACGGGUUUGAGUAGGAGCAUAGCUGUUGGGACCCGAAAGAUGGUGAACUAUACCUGGAUAGGGUGAAGCCAGAGGAAACUCUGGUGGAGGCUCGUAGCGGUUCUGACCGUGCAAAUCGAU